Schistocerca americana (American grasshopper) is the source of this 936-nucleotide long non-coding RNA. RefSeq lists it as uncharacterized. NCBI's taxonomy places the organism in Eukaryota, Metazoa, Arthropoda, Insecta, Orthoptera, Acrididae. The record is from RefSeq and is a predicted model, not a curated record. The transcript has 2 exons.
CAUGCCAAAUAGUUCCUCUUGUUUCCCACGUGAUGUGGCUUUCAGGCUUAUUUAGGUCCAUGUAGUUGAAUACAAAUUUUAAUUAAAUAAUUGUGUAAUAGAACCCAGCACAAAAAUAUUGCGCCAAACGUUUCUUCUGUAGUGAUCUUGUAAUGGUUUUACUUCGUCGAAAAUAGAAAUAUCGGAGGACAUUUGCAUUAGUUUACUCUACAAAAUUAACACGUUAACGAAGAAAAAUGCAAAUUAUUAUGUUGCAUUGACAAAUCUGUUUGUGACUUACUACCGCAGUUAGUGUGCACAGUCAUUAAUGAGAAAUGUUACAGGUUACGGCAUCAGGAAAUGCUAAUCUAAAAUUCCCACGCUGCAAGAACAGCAGGGGCGUAUGCGUGAUAAAAAAAAGAUUACAGAGCUGCUCACUGAUAUUUGUCUGUUGCUUGUGCCAUAUAGCUACUGCUGUGUCAUCCAAACAAGUAACAGCCAUGGAAAUAGCACCACAGGCACAAAGAUGCGAGCGGGUGCCAGUGCCAUAGAGACUCACCACUUGUGUGAGUUCUGCCAUUGCCACAGGCGGCGCUGAGGAUGAAGACAGGCGGCGCUGAGGAUGAAGACAGGCGGCGCUGAGGAUGAAGAUUUCGACUUUGCCUUGGCCAAUUACUGGCAGAGUACAAUUUGCCAAUGACCAUAUGACAACGGGCAGAAGCCUACUUGGAAGAUAGAAGAAGCACAGCUUUGGCCCACUCGGUUAUAGACCAUCGUCCGGGGCUGACUUAGACAGGGAAUGUCAUUUGUUGUAAAUUGCAUUUCCUAUGUACUGCAAAGUUUAUCUACAAUUAUUUGCACUUAGCCAUUGAGGGUCAUUUUGUGUUGUAUUGCAGGCAGUGUUGCAGACUUAAUUAUUCAACAAGCCUCAAAGAUAAAUAAAGUUUUUAACUCGUU